RNAcentral lists this ribosomal RNA (489 nucleotides) under uncultured bacterium. Its description in RNAcentral is "bacterial SSU rRNA". It matches the Rfam family "Bacterial small subunit ribosomal RNA", at positions 28 to 507 of the family's 1533-position model. The record is from RNAcentral.
GAUGAACGCUAGCUACAGGCUUAACACAUGCAAGUCGAGGGCAGCGGGAUUGAAGCUUGCUUCAAUUGCCGGCGACCGGCGCACGGGUGAGUAACGCGUAUCCAACCUUCCGUACACUCAGGGAUAGCCUUUCGAAAGAAAGAUUAAUACCUGAUGGUAUCUUAAGCACACAUGUAAUUAAGAUUAAAGAUUUAUCGGUGUACGAUGGGGAUGCGUUCCAUUAGGUAGUAGGCGGGGUAACGGCCCACCUAGCCAACGAUGGAUAGGGGUUCUGAGAGGAAGGUCCCCCACAUUGGAACUGAGACACGGUCCAAACUCCUACGGGAGGCAGCAGUGAGGAAUAUUGGUCAAUGGACGAGAGUCUGAACCAGCCAAGUAGCGUGAAGGAUGAAGGUCCUACGGAUUGUAAACUUCUUUUAUAAGGGAAUAAACCCUCCCACGUGUGGGAGCUUGUAUGUACCUUAUGAAUAAGCAUCGGCUAACUCCGUG